AACGGGUGAGUAACACGUGAGUAACCUGCCCUUAACUCUGGGAUAAGCCUGGGAAACUGGGUCUAAUACCGGAUAUGACUCCUCAUCGCAUGGUGGGGGGUGGAAAGCUUUAUUGUGGUUUUGGAUGGACUCGCGGCCUAUCAGCUUGUUGGUGAGGUAAUGGCUUACCAAGGCGACGACGGGUAGCCGGCCUGAGAGGGUGACCGGCCACACUGGGACUGAAACACGGCCCAAACUCCUACGGGAGGCAGCAGUGGGGAAUAUUGCACAAUGGGCGCAAGCCUGAUGCAGCGACGCCGCGUGAGGGAUGACGGCCUUCGGGUUGUAAACCUCUUUCAGUAGGGAAGAAGCGAAAGUGACGGUACCUGCAGAAAAAGCGCCGGCUAACUACGUGCCAGCAGCCGCGGUAAUACGUAGGGCGCAAGCGUUAUCCGGAAUUAUUGGGCGUAAAGAGCUCGUAGGCGGUUUGUCGCGUCUGCCGUGAAAGUCCGGGGCUCAACUCCGGAUCUGCGGUGGGUACGGGCAGACUAGAGUGAUGUAGGGGAGACUGGAAUUCCUGGUGUAGCGGUGAAAUGCGCAGAUAUCAGGAGGAACACCGAUGGCGAAGGCAGGUCUCUGGGCAUUAACUGACGCUGAGGAGCGAAAGCAUGGGGAGCGAACAGGAUUAGAUACCCUGGUAGUCCAUGCCGUAAACGUUGGGCACUAGGUGUGGGGGACAUUCCACGUUUUCCGCGCCGUAGCUAACGCAUUAAGUGCCCCGCCUGGGGAGUACGGCCGCAAGGCUAAAACUCAAAGGAAUUGACGGGGGCCCGCACAAGCGGCGG
RNAcentral lists this ribosomal RNA (824 nucleotides) under Actinomycetales bacterium TLI137. Its description in RNAcentral is "bacterial SSU rRNA". It matches the Rfam family "Bacterial small subunit ribosomal RNA", at positions 101 to 935 of the family's 1533-position model. Lineage: Bacteria; Bacillati; Actinomycetota; Actinomycetes; Actinomycetales. The record is from RNAcentral.